AUACGUAGGUGACAAGCGUUAUCCGGAUUUACUGGGCGUAAAGGGCGUGUAGGCGGUCUUGCAAGUCAGAAGUGAAAUUCCUGAGCUCAACUCGGGCGCUGCUUCUGAAACUGCAGGCCUUGAGUGCUGGAGGGGAUAGCGGAAUUCCUAGUGGAGCGGUAAAAUGCGCAGAUAUUAGGAGGAACACCGGUGGCGGAGGCGGAUAUUAGGACAGUAACCGACGCUGAGGCGGGAACGCGUGGGGAGCAAACCGGAUUAGAUACCCUGGUACUCCACGCUGUAAACGAUGAAUACUAGGUGUAGGGGGUAUCGACUCCCUCUGUGCCGCAGUUAACACAAUAAGUAUUCCGCCUGGGGAGGACGGCCGCAAGGUUGAAACUCAAAGGAAUUGACGGUG
Molecule: ribosomal RNA, 397 nt
Filed under: uncultured bacterium
Lineage: Bacteria
Description: partial 16S ribosomal RNA
Rfam family: Bacterial small subunit ribosomal RNA
Source: RNAcentral